This 516-nucleotide ribosomal RNA is filed under the name uncultured bacterium. RNAcentral describes it as "bacterial SSU rRNA". It matches the Rfam family "Bacterial small subunit ribosomal RNA", at positions 8 to 526 of the family's 1533-position model. The record is from RNAcentral.
AGAGUUUGAUCCUGGCUCAGAAUAAACGCUGGCGGCGUGCCUAACACAUGCAGUCGAGCGAGAAAGUUCCUUCGGGAAUGAGUAAAGCGGCAGACGGGUGAGGAACACGUGAGAACCUACCCUUUGGUGAAGAAUACCCUCGAGAAAUCGAGGCUAAUACUGCAUAAGUCCCUACGGGGAGAAAGGUGCCUUCAUGCUACCGCUGAAGGAUGGGCUUGCGGGCUAUUAGCUAGUUGGUGAGGUAAUGGCUUACCAAGGCAGAGAUGGCUAACCGGCCUGAGAGGGUGUACGGUCACACUGGAACUGAGACACGGUCCAGACUCCUACGGGAGGCAGCAGUGAGGAAUAUUGCGCAAUGGGCGAAAGCCUGACGCAGCGACGCCGCGUGGAGGAUGAAGGUUUUCGGAUUGUAAACUCCUGUUAAGUGGGAAGAAAUCUCUGUUUCUAAUACAAAUGGGGGUGACGGUACCACUAGAGAAAGCACCGGCUAACUCGUGCCAGCAGCCGCGGUAAUAC